CAUUACGGUACUUAAUAUUAGGACCUUAGAAUGUAAGACUUAAAGCAUGUAACCCUGUGUGGACUGUUAUAGUAAUUAUUAUAGUGCCUAAUGUUAGAUAUAGGAAUACUGUGUGAGACCCAAGAAUGCACCCUUGUAACCCAACUAGUACUGGUAAACAACCUAUCUGAUGGGAACGCCCAAAGCCUGUACACACCCAUAGAUUAACAGACCCCGGGUGGAUCCACACAUGGCAGCCGCUGGUAACACACACACCAACGAAGACCACGCCUACAGAGGGGUAUAUAACCAGACAGUCUGAUCAACUCAGCAGCGCAUAGCUCUCCUGUCGCCAGAGCGUGAGGACCUGUGUGUGCUCACAUUUCGGUUCCCAGCAUGAAACUCUGCCCAAUUAACUGUCGAUUGAAGAAAGAGCCAGCAGCCAACGGCAUCGUCUACCCCUUUGUGUGUAUCAGUGAGCAUCACCGGGUGGAUGCUUCCCGGUGCCUGAGACCCAUCAGGAACUGCUAAAUUAUGACUACAGUGGAUGGAAGAAGACCAUGAAUCCAGGCAUUGCAAAGAAGAUAAAUAUGCAUGUCAAAAAAAGGAGAUCUCAGCCAAAGAGAAUAAUGACAGAGAAGAAACUCAUAAAAUGUUCUUACUGA
This is a long non-coding RNA of Myotis myotis, 644 nucleotides long. RefSeq lists it as uncharacterized. The record is from RefSeq and is a predicted model, not a curated record. Lineage: Eukaryota; Metazoa; Chordata; Mammalia; Chiroptera; Vespertilionidae. The transcript has 2 exons.